ACCUGGUCUCAACCUCAGCCCAGCCCAAAACUUCAGCCCCACUAACCGUUCAAGCUAUCCCACUCCCACUCUGCUUUAUUUUCUCUAUGUCUAUCUCUUCGUAUGCUCUCUGUUCCUCUCCAUCUUCCAACCCACCCAUCUUCUCCUUUCCUCCACGGUAUCCCCAAUCCCAAUCUUUAUCUUCUUCUCUAAUCUUCUCCAAUCCCCUACUAAUCCCAGGUUGGUUCUAAGUUUAAUUCUUGAUUCAUUCUUUGUACAUGAAGCUCACCAGAACAAUGGCAUUCAAAUCAGCUAUAGUGCAACCGAAAAACCCACCACACUUCAACCCCACAUUUUCUUGCUGCCUGAAACCAUCCUUUCAGUUCAGGGAGAAUCCACUGAAGGAUUUUGAAUUCAAUAUCAAAAGAAGAAUUGGGGCAAUAGCAGCAGUAAGUUGGGCACUAAUGGCGGCGAAAGAAGCAAUUUUUGUUGAAGCUGCAAAUGGAUUUGACUUGCAACUGGUAGCACCUGGUCAGACAAUUGAAGAGGCACGGAGUGGAAUCAAAGGGCAUGCACAAGCUCUGUUACAAGUGAAAGAGCUGAUAGAUUUAGAGUCAUGGAGAGAAGUACAAAUAGCUCUCAGGAAGAGCUCAUCGGUCUUGAAACAGGACAUAUAUACCCUAAUUCAAGCAAAACCUGCAAAUGAGAGGCCUCAACUGAGAAAACUUUAUUCUGACCUCUUCAACAAUGUGACCAGACUUGAUUAUGCAGCUAGGGAUAAAGAUGCAUCAUAUAUCCGACAAUGCUAUGAGAACAUUGUUGCCGUUCUGAAUCAAAUGCUAUCUAGAAUAUAAAGUAUCAACUCAAGAAUUCAAUCUUGCCUGGGGAUUCAAAGCAGAGCUGACAAGGCUCAGUGAAUCUUUGAACAUGAUUCAAGAUAUCUUAAGUGAUGCUGUCGAGCAACCGCAAGGUCGGGGCAAGGCGGUAGAGGAGUGGGUGAAGAAACUUAAACAGAUAGCUUAUGAUGCUGAUGAUGUGUUGGAUGAGUUCAAAUAUGAAGAUCUUCGGAGUAAAGUAGGGCUCCGAAACCAAAUCCACAUAAAGCUCUGUGAGAAUGCGAAGGUAAAAAGUCCCACAUUAGAAAGUUGAGAAACCUAGCAAGGGCUUAUAAGGAGUUGAGCUACUUCUCCCAUUGCCAAUUGGUUUUGGGGUGAAACCCCUUUGUUCCCUUUUCCAUCUGGCUGAACUGAAGAUGAUGCCUUCAAUUGUGGUGUCUCAACUGGAACACCAAGCUCAGCAAGCUCGCUUUAGCUGUAGGUUUGGGGGACGACGGUAACUCCAUGGUUCAGAUGACCUUAGGUCCAAUAUAUUUUCAAGGUUAGCUAGAAUAUCUGGUGAAGCACUAGCAGUAGCUUGUGAUGAUACCGUAAAUAUAUAGUCAAGGUUGCGUACGGCAAUGUCCUGCAAUAACAAACACAGCUUCAAUAAUUAAAUAAUUAAGUAGCAUGUAAACUACAAAUCUGCAAGAACUUGGAUCACAAGUCCCAUAAACAGAAGCAUGAGACAAUAUUCAAGACAAUAACCUGCCCUCCACUAUACUUUUAUCUUCCAAAAGAAGAUAAAGCAGACUGUAUUGGAGAUAUUGAUAACUAAGCCACAAAAA
Prunus persica (peach) is the source of this 1642-nucleotide RNA transcript. It is a transcript of the gene named psbQ-like protein 3, chloroplastic, with no coding region annotated. The transcript is spliced from 4 exons. The record is from RefSeq and is a predicted model, not a curated record. NCBI's taxonomy places the organism in Eukaryota, Viridiplantae, Streptophyta, Magnoliopsida, Rosales, Rosaceae.